RNAcentral lists this ribosomal RNA (253 nucleotides) under uncultured bacterium. Its description in RNAcentral is "partial 16S ribosomal RNA". It matches the Rfam family "Bacterial small subunit ribosomal RNA", at positions 524 to 776 of the family's 1533-position model. The record is from RNAcentral.
UACGGGGGGGGGAAGCGUUGUUCGGAAUUACUGGGCUUAAAGGGUGCGUAGGCGGGCGCGUAAGUGUUCUGUGAAAUCCCCGGGCUCAACCCGGGAACCGCAGGGCAUACUGCGCGUCUCGAGGAAGCUAGAGGCCGGUGGAACGAUCGGUGGAGCGGUGGAAUGCGUAGAGAUCGAUCGGAACGCCAAGGGUGAAGACAACCGGCUGGGGCUUUCCUGACGCUGAGGCACGAAAGCGCGGGGAUCAAACAGG